UACCAUGUCAGAAAAAAAAUGGGCUUCUGGU
Molecule: non-coding RNA, 31 nt
Filed under: Mus musculus (house mouse)
Lineage: Eukaryota; Metazoa; Chordata; Mammalia; Rodentia; Muridae
Source: RNAcentral